UGGCCGAGCUGCCCCCAGACCUGCGCUGCCCCCACUCCCCGCAGCAGAGGUGCCGGGCUCGGCAGCGGCCACCCAGCGGCCGCUCCCCGAGCUCAAGGCAGCACCGGGCCACCUCCAGGCAGGGGGCGCAGCCGCGAGCUCGGGGCUGCAGCUUUUCCAGCCAGGAGAGCUGCGGCGCACCCGACCCGGCCGGGUUACCUCCCUCCGGCCCCGGGCGGGGGGCGCUCGGGAGGGUGAUGCUGCACCUGCCAUGCAACCUGCCUGCGCCGAGAGGCAGUGGGAAGCGCACAGCAGCCGUUCCCCAGGACCCAGCACCGGCGCGGAGGGUGCAGUGCAGUGCAAUGCAAGCGCCCCCCCCGCCCCGGGCUAGAAGAGGGAACGCAAUGCAGCCCCUCUCCCCAGGCUCAGCAGCCGGGGCCAGAAGGACGAUGCAAUCUCGCCCCACCUGCUGGGGGGAGAGAGGGGAACGCAGCACCCCGGCAACCACCGCGGGGAGCCGGGACCCAGCUGCAACCGCAAUCCAAUCCCGCAGGGAGCGUCCGGCUGCAGCAGAUUGCCUGGGCCAGCCAGCGCCGGAGGGGAGAAGAAUUGUUAUGCACUCUUCUCCUCUGGUAACAGCUCCAGCUGUGAUAAUUCUCAUUAAUUCCAGCCUUAUGCAUCCCACUGGGCAUCCAUUAUGUUACAAAGAGCCCUUGAUCUGCCAAGCAUCAUUAACACACACAGGGAGAGAGACAAUCCCUGCCCUACAAAGCUUUCAUCUGAAGAAGACAAGCAACAUGCAAAAGGUGGGGGAGAAGGAGUCAAACAAACUAUGUACAAUUCACA
This is a long non-coding RNA of Chelonia mydas (Green sea turtle), 825 nucleotides long. RefSeq lists it as uncharacterized. The transcript has 3 exons. The record is from RefSeq and is a predicted model, not a curated record. Lineage: Eukaryota; Metazoa; Chordata; Testudines; Cheloniidae.